AUGCAGCUUAUUAAGACUGGUCUUGCUGCAGUGCAUAUCUGGUGUACAAAGGCUGCAAAGAGCAACUCGUUGGUUUGUGUAUGUCCUCAGCUAUGAGGUGCUGAAUUCUUUAAAGGGACCACUGAGACAAAG
This is a small nucleolar RNA of Hippocampus comes (tiger tail seahorse), 132 nucleotides long. Its record names the gene SNORA70. It matches the Rfam family "Small nucleolar RNA SNORA70". From Rfam's summary of the family: snoRNA U70 seems to be exclusive to mammals and is a member of the H/ACA class of snoRNA which contain H (ANANNA) and ACA box motifs. H/ACA box snoRNAs are involved in the conversion of uridines to pseudouridines (5-ribosyluracil) a constituent of structural RNAs (transfer, ribosomal, small nuclear, and small nucleolar). Lineage: Eukaryota; Metazoa; Chordata; Actinopteri; Syngnathiformes; Syngnathidae. The record is from Ensembl.